This 468-nucleotide ribosomal RNA is filed under the name uncultured bacterium. RNAcentral describes it as "partial 16S ribosomal RNA". It matches the Rfam family "Bacterial small subunit ribosomal RNA", at positions 28 to 507 of the family's 1533-position model. The record is from RNAcentral.
GACGAACGCUGGCGGCGUGCUUAACACAUGCAAGUCGAACGGAAAGGCCCUGCUUUUGUGGGGUGCUCGAGUGGCGAACGGGUGAGUAACACGUGAGUAACCUGCCCUUGACUUUGGGAUAACUUCAGGAAACUGGGGCUAAUACCGGAUAGGAGCUCCUGCUGCAUGGUGGGGGUUGGAAAAUUUCGGCGGUUGGGGAUUGACUCGCGGCUUAGCAGCUUGUUGGUGGGGUAGUGGCUUACCAAGGCUUUGACGGGUAGCCGGCCUGAGAGGGUGACCGGCCACAUUGGGACUGAGAGACGGCCGAGGUUCCGACGGGAGGCAGCAGUGGGAAAUAUUGCACAAUGGGCGGAAGCUUGAUGCAGCAACGCCUCGUGUGGGAUGACGGCCUUCGGGUUGUAAACCGCUUGCGCCUGUGACGAAGCGUGUGUGACGGUAAUGUGUAAAGAAGCACCGGCUAACUACGUU